UACGUAGGGGGCGAGCGUUGUCCGGAUUUACUGGGCGUAAAACGCUUGUAGGUGGCCACGCCAAGUCGGACGUGAAAUCUCCCGGCUUAACUGGGAGGGGUCGUUCGAUACUGGCGGGCUCGAGGCAGGUAGGGGGAAGCGGAAUUCCAGGUGUAGCGGUGAAAUGCGUAGAUAUCUGGAGGAACACCGGUGGCGAAGGCGGCAUCCUGGACCAACACUGACACUGAGGAGCGAAAGCCAGGGGAGCAAACGGG
RNAcentral lists this ribosomal RNA (254 nucleotides) under uncultured bacterium. Its description in RNAcentral is "partial 16S ribosomal RNA". It matches the Rfam family "Bacterial small subunit ribosomal RNA", at positions 524 to 776 of the family's 1533-position model. The record is from RNAcentral.